This 219-nucleotide unclassified non-coding RNA is filed under the name Melitaea cinxia (Glanville fritillary). RNAcentral describes it as "misc RNA ENSMCXG00005020311.1". Lineage: Eukaryota; Metazoa; Arthropoda; Insecta; Lepidoptera; Nymphalidae. The record is from RNAcentral.
ACUUGCUAUUGUAUUACGAUACUGUUUUCGGGGAAAAGUGUAUGAAAGAUAUGUGUAUCUUUCAUUAAAAUUAGUAGUCAUACUGGCUUAUAUUUAUUUAAUAUUCUACAAGCCUUUUUGGAAACAAAUGGACUACUACUGGAUAAUUGCAGGGGACAGUCAUAUGACAACGCUGCUAAUAUGGCCGGAGUCUACAAUGGUGUACAAGCACUACUAAAA